UAAAGUCUAGCCUGCUCACUGACUUAGCGUUAAAUGGCCGCAGUAUUUUAACUGUGCAAAGGUAGCAUAAUCAUUAGUCUUUUAAUUGAAGGCUUGUAUGAAUGGUUGGACGAGAUAUUGACUGUCUCAUUUUAGAAAAGUAGAAUUUUAUUUUUUAGUUAAAAAGCUAAAAUUAAUAUAAAAGACGAGAAGACCCUAUGGAUCUUUAUAUAGUUUUUAUUAUAAUUAUUUGGGUUAAUUUAAUUUUAAUAAUUGUUUAUAUUUUGUUGGGGUGACAUUAAGAUUUAUUUAACUCUUAAUAUUGAAUUACAUUGAUAUAUGAAAUUUAUUGAUCCAGUUUUAUUGAUUAAAAGAUUAAGUUACCCUAGGGAUAACAGCGUAAUUUUUCUAGAGAGCUCAUAUCGAUAGAAAAGAUUGCGACCUCGAUGUUGGAUUAAGAUUAAUAAUGGGUGAAGAAGUUCAUUAUAUUAAGUCUGUUCGACUUUUAAUUUCUUACAUGAUCUGAGUUCAAACCGGUGUAAGCCAGGUUGGUUUCUAUCUUUAUUUUAUUAAGAUAUUUUAGUACGAAAGGACCGAGUAUCUGAUUUAUUAAAAUUUAUUAUAUGAGUUUGAUUAAUU
Molecule: ribosomal RNA, 618 nt
Filed under: Thraxan ebenus
Lineage: Eukaryota; Metazoa; Arthropoda; Insecta; Diptera; Bombyliidae
Description: partial 16S ribosomal RNA
Rfam family: Bacterial large subunit ribosomal RNA
Source: RNAcentral